Molecule: long non-coding RNA, 1557 nt
Filed under: Capsicum annuum
Lineage: Eukaryota; Viridiplantae; Streptophyta; Magnoliopsida; Solanales; Solanaceae
Description: long non-coding RNA (CANN_LNC001091)
Source: RNAcentral
UAUUAACCAGCUGGCAUACAAAUAUAGGAAGGAAAAGAAGAAAGGAAAGCCACUGUGCUUAUAGAUAAGAUAAGAAGCACUACUUUUUGUUUCCAAAAAGGAAGAAAUUUUGAUUGUGUUCCCUUGCACAUUUUUAGAACUACAAAGACCAUAAAACUACCAAAGCUAAAGAAGGAAAGACUCCAGGAUAUCUUUAUUCAUGUUAGCAAGAACAUACACUUUUGUAAGGUUCCAACAUACUAGGAAAUAUCCAUCACAGGAAAUAUCCAUCACAGAUAUAAGGAAACCUAUUCACUUCGAAACUACAAGGAGCCCUCAAGUCAGUUACUAGGUAAGAAGUAGGUCAAAAUUUAAAAUGGUCAAUUAUUAAUUGUAUUACAAUAUUCCAUACUAUAGCAUUCAAGCACAACAGGGUUCAGAGCUCCAAUGUAAAAGUCCUGAUGACUUCAAUGGAAAGCAUUAUCAAAUUAGUAUAGAACGAUCAUGACAUAAGAGGACACAUUCUGUUCUUAAUAUUAGGAAGUUGAUUCAUGUACUGGUUUGAUAUAUUGAAUUUUCAAAAUAGACGUACUGCAUUUCCCUCUUAAAAGUAUCAAGAUAGCAAUUUUUUCACAUGCCUUUUAGAUAUUUUGAAUUGUUUAUUAUUGUGAAUCAUAGUAUUCUUUACGGAGUUUCUAAAUAUGUAAAUUUUGUUUCAGAAAAACUCAAGAUUCUAUAUCCAAAAUUUAAGGUUAUAAUUAAAAAGUUUAACUCUCAAAAUCUGAAUGGUGCCACAUAAAUUGUGACAGAGGGAGUAACAAAGAUGGACAAAACUGGAUUUAGGCCAUAAGGGAUAUUUAACCACCUUUUUCCUCAAAAGAAAAUAAUGAAGAUAAGUUUCAUUAUUCAAGAAGAUUUGGCCACAUCUACACAGCUCUAUUUUGUCAGCAUUUCAGUACCCACUUAUUCAAAACCUAAAAUGAACCAAAUGUUAUUUUAAUAAUACAAGGAAAUAAAGUGCACAUCCUUUCUAUGUACUAACAGUUAAAGGAGUUCUCAGCUAUUCAGUAUGCAUUUUAUGUACAAACAGUUAAGGAGUUCUCAGCUAUCCAAUCAAUCAUUUGAUUCUUUGCUAUCAGAAUUCUGCACAUUUUCCUAAACAGAACAAAUCUGAUUGACAGAGCUUGUAUUUGUUUACACUAAAAAUGGUAUAGAUAAUCAAAAUCAAAUGUUAGCAGCCACUGAUCUCAUUUUAGAUGGUGAAAACAAACACGUUUUGAAAUUAUAUUAUUAUCGAAUACGGGAUUACAUUACAAAUCUAAUACGUUGGGUUAGAACUUGUUUGCAGGAUAUUCCACCAUGCCCAACAAAGAGAAGCAGAACAAAUUUAAUAUCAAAUGAGAAAUUUUCUUGAAACUUACUGUUGCUCUAGUUAUGCCGGGAAAGCAAUAAUCAGCAUGAGGGACUAUGUAGAUAACUGCUGCAGCAAUAGAAAUGAGACUUCUCCUGCAAGUUUUAUAUAGAGGAGUAAAUAGAUUUGAUCCAUCCUGUUGGAAAGAGCUAUGUGACAAAAACAAC